CCUGAUCGUAACAGACGGGUUUUGUUAGAGAGUGUGUCUUCUGUACCCAGUACUAUUAUUUAUUCUGUGACAAGACGAAAUCACGGAUAGGUCGUUAUUUUAUCGCCUGUCGUGUUGGUAAAGUCGAUAAAUGCUACCAUGACAGUUAUGUUUCACUUCUACGUAAAAAGUAAAAAAAUACGAGUACAUCUUAAUGUUGCUAAUGGAAAUUUGGACAUGUGAUAGAAAUCGAUAAAAAAGCAAUUUCAUAAAACAUAGGAAGGUCAAUCUAAAACUAGCAGCAUUGAAGUGACUAAUGAAACUGGGCUAUAACCGCGAAAAUCGAAGUUCGCAAAUUGCGGGGAUGUUUCUCUGCGACCUUAAUUACGCCGUCAUUGGAGUAAAAGAGAAAGAUCCCCGCAAUAUGCGAAUUUCGCAACACAUGCUGCCUGUUUAGUAUUUCAUAAAUUGUGACUUUGACUGUGAAACGGGCUAGAAGAUUGAGAGCAUGUUAACAAAAUCAUUUUAGGAUUAACUAAAAUCUAUUGAAAAGUUUAAACUUUAAAAUUUUUACGGUUAUUUAUAUAAUUAAGAUUAUUACAAUUAUAUCACUUAACACAGAUAACGUACGUAGGUAUACGAAAAUAGGUACAAAGUACACCGCAGACGGCAAGAUGAUACGAUAAUUAAUAGGCCUUGUACAAAGAAAUAUGUUCACUCUAGAGGAAUGCCUUUGGAAUGCUAUAGGUAGGUAGGCCUACAAAUUAACGUCAUGUCUAAUCCUCGAUUAUUAAAUUAUAAUACGUAACUAGGUAAUACAAUUUUUAAAUUAAUUUGGUAUUUAUAGCUUUGUUUGACUUUAAAAAGUACAAAGAAAAAGUAAAAAAAAAGAAAA
Cydia fagiglandana is the source of this 874-nucleotide long non-coding RNA. RefSeq lists it as uncharacterized. The transcript is spliced from 2 exons. The record is from RefSeq and is a predicted model, not a curated record. NCBI's taxonomy places the organism in Eukaryota, Metazoa, Arthropoda, Insecta, Lepidoptera, Tortricidae.